Molecule: long non-coding RNA, 314 nt
Organism: Chinchilla lanigera (long-tailed chinchilla)
Lineage: Eukaryota; Metazoa; Chordata; Mammalia; Rodentia; Chinchillidae
Exons: 2
Source: RefSeq, a predicted model, not a curated record
CUGGAGCAGUGAAAGAUGGAAAGUAAUUACACGUGCAGGACGAAGCCAGCCCGAGAACACGGGAGCUCCUUGAAGCAGCAUUGGAGAUUGAACCCAGGGCUUCAUGGAUGCCAGACAAGACAAGCACUUCAUACACCAAACUACACUUCCAAUCCAAGAAUUUUAUUUUCAAAGAUCCUAUUAUAAAACUCAAAAUGUUAGGCUAUUGGCCAACCACGAAAGAAACAAAGACUUGAAGUGCCAACAAAGAAUGUUGUGUGUACCAAAAACUGAAAGUAGAAACUUCAACAAAUAAAUAUAAAUCAUGAAACUAA